GUCCACGCCGUAAACGAUGAGUGCUAGGUGCUGUGGGUAUUGACCCCUGCGGUGCCGCAGCUAACGCGUUAAGCACUCCGCCUGGGGAGUACGGCCGCAAGGCUAAAACUCAAAGGAAUUGACGGGGGCCCGCACAAGCGGUGGAGCAUGUGGUUCAAUUCGACGCAACGCGCAGAACCUUACCUGGGUUAAAUCCACUCGAACUUGACAGAGAUGUCUUGGUGCCCUUCGGGGAGCGAGUGAGAAGGUGCUGCAUGGCUGUCGU
RNAcentral lists this ribosomal RNA (265 nucleotides) under uncultured bacterium. RNAcentral describes it as "partial 16S ribosomal RNA". It matches the Rfam family "Bacterial small subunit ribosomal RNA", at positions 793 to 1055 of the family's 1533-position model. The record is from RNAcentral.